Molecule: ribosomal RNA, 497 nt
Filed under: uncultured bacterium
Lineage: Bacteria
Description: partial 16S ribosomal RNA
Rfam family: Bacterial small subunit ribosomal RNA
Source: RNAcentral
GACGAACGCUGGCGGCGUGCCUAAUACAUGCAAGUAGAACGCUGAAGAGAGGAGCUUGCUCUUCUUGGAUGAGUUGCGAACGGGUGAGUAACGCGUAGGUAACCUGCCUUGUAGCGGGGGAUAACUAUUGGAAACGAUAGCUAAUACCGCAUAACAAUGGAUGACACAUGUCAUUUAUUUGAAAGGGGCAAUUGCUCCACUACAAGAUGGACCUGCGUUGUAUUAGCUAGUAGGUGAGGUAAUGGCUCACCUAGGCGACGAUACAUAGCCGACCUGAGAGGGUGAUCGGCCACACUGGGACUGGGACACGGCCCAGACUCCUAUGGGAGGCAGCAGUAGGGAAUCUUCGGCAAUGGGGGCAACCCUGACCGAGCAACGCCGCGUGAGUGAAGAAGGUUUUCGGAUCGUAAAGCUCUGUUGUAAGUCAAGAACGGGUGUGAGAGUGGAAAGUUCACACUGUGACGGUAGCUUACCAGAAAGGGACGGCUAACUACGUG